RNAcentral lists this unclassified non-coding RNA (253 nucleotides) under uncultured Gammaproteobacteria bacterium. RNAcentral describes it as "contains 16S-23S intergenic spacer region". It matches the Rfam family "Bacterial small subunit ribosomal RNA", at positions 524 to 776 of the family's 1533-position model. Lineage: Bacteria; Pseudomonadati; Pseudomonadota; Gammaproteobacteria. The record is from RNAcentral.
UACGGAGGGUGCGAGCGUUAAUCGGAAUUACUGGGCGUAAAGCGUGCGCAGGCGGUGCUGUAAGACAGGCGUGAAAUCCCCGGACUCAACCUGGGAAUUGCGCUUGUGACUGCAGUGCUGGAGUGCGGCAGAGGGGGAUGGAAUUCCGUGUGUAGCAGUGAAAUGCGUAGAUAUGCGGAGGAACACCGAUGGCGAAGGCAAUCCCCUGGGCCUGCACUGACGCUGAGGCGCGAAAGCGUGGGGAGCAAACAGG